ACAUGCAGUCGAGCGGACCGACGGGAGCUUGCUCCCUUAGGUCAGCGGCGGACGGGUGAGUAACACGUGGGUAACCUGCCUGUAAGACUGGGAUAACUCCGGGAAACCGGGGCUAAUACCGGAUGCUUGAUUGAACCGCAUGGUUCAAUCAUAAAAGGUGGCUUUUAGCUACCACUUGCAGAUGGACCCGCGGCGCAUUAGCUAGUUGGUGAGGUAACGGCUCACCAAGGCGACGAUGCGUAGCCGACCUGAGAGGGUGAUCGGCCACACUGGGACUGAGACACGGCCCAGACUCCUACGGGAGGCAGCAGUAGGGAAUCUUCCGCAAUGGACGAAAGUCUGACGGAGCAACGCCGCGUGAGUGAUGAAGGUUUUCGGAUCGUAAAACUCUGUUGUUAGGGAAGAACAAGUACCGUUCGAAUAGGGCGGCACCUUGACGGUACCUAACCAGAAAGCCACGGCUAACUACGUGCCAGCAGCCGCGGUAAUACGUAGGUGGCAAGCGUUGUCCGGAAUUAUUGGGCGUAAAGCGCGCGCAGGCGGUUUCUUAAGUCUGAUGUGAAAGCCCCCGGCUCAACCGGGGAGGGUCAUUGGAAACUGGGGAACUUGAGUGCAGAAGAGGAGAGUGGAAUUCCACGUGUAGCGGUGAAAUGCGUAGAGAUGUGGAGGAACACCAGUGGCGAAGGCGACUCUCUGGUCUGUAACUGACGCUGAGGCGCGAAAGCGUGGGGAGCGAACAGGAUUAGAUACCCUGGUAGUCCACGCCGUAAACGAUGAGUGCUAAGUGUUAGAAGGGUUUCCGCCCUUUAGUGCUGCAGCAAACGCAUUAA
This 830-nucleotide ribosomal RNA is filed under the name Bacillus licheniformis. RNAcentral's name for it is "bacterial SSU rRNA". It matches the Rfam family "Bacterial small subunit ribosomal RNA", at positions 53 to 863 of the family's 1533-position model. Lineage: Bacteria; Bacillati; Bacillota; Bacilli; Caryophanales; Bacillaceae. The record is from RNAcentral.